UUAUGUACCAGCUUGUCAAAGCCUGAUCUCAUCAGAUCUCAGAAGCUAAGCAAAGCAGGGCCUGGUUAGUACUUGGAUGGGUGACUGCUGGGAAAACCAGGUGCCACAGU
This 110-nucleotide ribosomal RNA is filed under the name Periophthalmus magnuspinnatus. Lineage: Eukaryota; Metazoa; Chordata; Actinopteri; Gobiiformes; Gobiidae. The record is from RNAcentral.